UCNGAUGUCAAGAACACAGGGCCUUGCUGC
RNAcentral lists this non-coding RNA (30 nucleotides) under Mus musculus (house mouse). The record is from RNAcentral. Lineage: Eukaryota; Metazoa; Chordata; Mammalia; Rodentia; Muridae.